CGAGCACACAGCCCGAAAAGCUACCCUAUUAAUUCAGUUUUUUAAGGACAAUAAAUGUAUCCUAUCUACAGUACCAGUCAAACAUUUGGACACACCUACUCAUUACUGUGUUUUUCUUUAUUUUUUACUAAGUUCAUUAGAGUCGGCAAUUAAAUGCACCUCAGACUGCAGCCCAAAUAAAUGCUUCAUAGAGUUCAAGUAUACACAUCGCAACAUCAACUGUUCAGAGGAGACUGAAUGAAUCACACCUUCAUGGUCAAAUUGCUGCAAAGAAACCCCUACUAAAGAACACCAAUAUGAAGAAGAUACUUACUUGGACUAAGAAACACGAGCAAAGGACAUUAGACUGGUGGAAAUCUGUCCUUUGUAAUAUUUUUGGUUCCAACCGCCGUGUCUUUGUGAGACGCAGAGUAGGUGAACGGAUGAUCUCCACAUGUGUGGUUCCCACCGUGAAGCAUGGAGGAGGACGUGUUAUGGUGUGGGGUGCUUUGCUGGUGACAUUGUCUGUGAUUUAUUUAGAAUUCAAGGCACACUUAACCAGCAUGGCUAACACAGCAUUCUGCAGCGAAACGCCAUCCCAUCUGGUUUGCGCUUUGUGGGACUAUCAUAUGUUUUUCAACAGGACAAUGACCCAAAACACACCUCCAGGCUGUGUAAGGACUAUUUGACCAAGAAGGAGAGUGAUGGAAGCACUCACAUUAAGGUCUACACCAGUUGUAUUCGGCGCAUGUUACAAAUUAAAUCUGAUUUGAUUUUGAUGGAGUGCUGCAUCAGAUGACCUGGCCUCUAGAAUAACCCAACCUCAACCCAAUUGAGAUGGUUUGGGAUGAGUUAAACUGCAGAGUGAAGGAAAAGCAGCUAACAAGUGCUCAGCAUAUGUGGGAACUCCUUCAAGAUGGUUGGAAAAGCAUUCCAGGUGACUACAUCAUGAAGCUGGCUGAGAGAAUGCCAAGAGUGUACAAACCUCUCAUCAAGGCAAAGGGUGGCUACUUUGAAAAAUCUCAAAUCUAUAAUAUAUUUUGAUUUGUUUAACUCUUUUUUUGCUUACUACAUGAUUUUGUAUGUGUUAUUUCAUGAUUUUGAUGUCUUCACUAUUAUUCUACAAUGAAUAAAAUAAAAACAAAAACUUGUGUCCAAACUUUUGAUUAGUACUGUAGGUUACAACCCAAUCUAUUAAAGAAUGUUAUUUUUUCCAAGUCAGUCGUUUUUCCAAAACCUGUCGUUGUGUGUCUUUUAUCUGUAGUUUAGCCUACAAGGUCCAGGGCCAGUGAUAUGGUCUCCGUGUCAUGAAUCCCGCUUCCUGAGUCUGUUUUCUGCCUGAGUUGCCUGUUUCUGUCUUGGAGUCUGUUUCUUGAGGUUCCUGAACGCACCCUGUCUGGUUGCCGGGCGACGAAGCUAGGCGGGAGAUCUCUCGAUUACCCGCACCUGCAUCUCAUCAGCUAUCUGCACACCUGGUCCUGAUCAUCACCUCUCCACUUCAUAAGCUCUGACCUGACAUCCAUUCCCUGCCGGAUCGUUAGCAAUGAACAUCAUUCUUCCGGAACAUUCACCCCACCCCUGCCUGGUCGUCGGUGGCUUCUGUGACAUCAUUGGAUCUGCCUAUUCACUCUCACCAACUCACCUCCGCUGCC
Molecule: long non-coding RNA, 1631 nt
Filed under: Salmo salar (Atlantic salmon)
Lineage: Eukaryota; Metazoa; Chordata; Actinopteri; Salmoniformes; Salmonidae
Description: lncRNA (ENSSSAG00000110815.1)
Source: RNAcentral